Molecule: ribosomal RNA, 231 nt
Filed under: Faecalibacterium prausnitzii
Lineage: Bacteria; Bacillati; Bacillota; Clostridia; Eubacteriales; Oscillospiraceae
Description: partial 23S ribosomal RNA
Rfam family: Bacterial large subunit ribosomal RNA
Source: RNAcentral
AGCGGACGUACCUCUGGCGCACCAGUUGUUCUGCCAAGGGCAUAGCUGGGCAACUAUGUACGGAUCGGAUAAACGCUGAAAGCAUCUAAGCGUGAAGCCGACCCAAAGAUAAGAUAUCCCAUUGUUUUAAACAAGUAAGACCCCUUGAAGACUACAAGGUUGAUAGGCACGAUGUGUAAGUGGAGUGAUCCAUUCAGCAAGCGUGUACUAAUAGGUCGAGGGCUUGACCAC